This 301-nucleotide ribosomal RNA is filed under the name uncultured bacterium. RNAcentral's name for it is "partial 16S ribosomal RNA". It matches the Rfam family "Bacterial small subunit ribosomal RNA", at positions 509 to 809 of the family's 1533-position model. The record is from RNAcentral.
CAGCCGCCGCGGUAAAACGGAGGGGGCUAGCGUUGUUCGGAAUUACUGGGCGUAAAGCGCACGUAGGCGGCUUGGUAAGUUAGAGGUGAAAGCCCGGAGCUCAACUCCGAAAUUGCCUUUAAGACUGCCGAGCUAGUAGGUGAGAGAGGUAAGUGGAAUUCCGAGUGUAGAGGUGAAAUUCGUAGAUAUUCGGAAGAACACCAGUGGCGAAGGCGGCUUACUGGCUCAUUCUAGACGCUGAGGUGCGAAAGCGUGGGGAGCAAACAGGAUUAGAUACCCCGGUAGUCCCUGUCUCUUAUAA